GCCAGAGGGUGCGAACGUUGUUCGGAAUUACUGGGCGAAAAGCGCGUGUAGGCGGUGAGGCAAGUCGGAUGUGAAAGCCCAGGGCUCAACCGUGGAAGUGCACUCGAUACUGCCUUGCUGGAGUCCCGGAGAGGAUGGUGGAACUCUCGGUGUAGAGGUUAAAUUCGUAGAUAUCGAGAAGAACACCAGGGGCGAAGGCGGCCAUCCGGACGGUGACUGACGCUGAGACGCGAAAGCCUGGGGAGCAAUUAGG
RNAcentral lists this ribosomal RNA (253 nucleotides) under uncultured bacterium. RNAcentral's name for it is "partial 16S ribosomal RNA". It matches the Rfam family "Bacterial small subunit ribosomal RNA", at positions 524 to 776 of the family's 1533-position model. The record is from RNAcentral.